This 729-nucleotide ribosomal RNA is filed under the name uncultured bacterium. RNAcentral's name for it is "bacterial SSU rRNA". It matches the Rfam family "Bacterial small subunit ribosomal RNA", at positions 1 to 728 of the family's 1533-position model. The record is from RNAcentral.
GGCUUAGAGUUUGAUCCUGGCUCAGGGUGAACGCUGGCGGCGUGCCUAACACAUGCAAGUCGAGCGGGGAGGGGGUAGGCGCAAGCCGAGCCCUCCUAGCGGCAAACGGGUGAGUAACACGUGGGUGACCUGCCCCGGCGUGGGGGAUAACCCUCCGAAAGGGGGGCUAAUACCGCAUACGCUCGGCGGGGACGGCCCGUCGAGGAAAGGCCCGGGGAGGAGACGAACCGGGUCGCGCCGGGAGGGGCCCGCGGCCCAUCAGGUAGUUGGUGGGGUAAUGGCCCACCAAGCCGAUGACGGGUAGCCGGCCUGAGAGGGUGACCGGCCACACGGGCACUGAGACACGGGCCCGACUCCUACGGGAGGCAGCAGUGGGGAAUCUUGGGCAAUGGGCGAAAGCCUGACCCAGCGACGCCGCGUGCGGGAAGAAGCCCUUCGGGGUGUAAACCGCUUUUGCCGGGGACGAGAAAGGACGGUACCCGGCGAAUAAGGUCCGGCCAACUACGUGCCAGCAGCCGCGGUAAUACGUAGGGGCCGAGCGUUACCCGGAUUUACUGGGCGUAAAGUGCGCGUAGGCGGGGCCCUAAGUCGAGCGUGAAAGCCCCGGGCUCAACUCGGGGAGGCCGCUCGAUUCUGGGGCUCUUGAGGGCGGGAGAGGGUGGUGGAAUUCCCGGUGUAGCGGUGAAAUGCGUAGAAAUCGGGAGGAACACCGGUGGGGAAGCCGGCCAC